RNAcentral lists this ribosomal RNA (516 nucleotides) under Coniochaeta sp. RNAcentral's name for it is "LSU rRNA". It matches the Rfam family "Eukaryotic large subunit ribosomal RNA", at positions 86 to 628 of the family's 3401-position model. The record is from RNAcentral. Lineage: Eukaryota; Fungi; Ascomycota; Sordariomycetes; Coniochaetales; Coniochaetaceae.
ACGGCGAGUGAGCGGCACAGCUCAAAUUUGAAAUCUGGCUUUCGGGCCCGAGUUGUAAUUUGUAGAGGAUGCUUUUGGCGCGGUGCCUUCCGAGUUCCCUGGAACGGGACGCCACAGAGGGUGAGAGCCCCCUACGGUCGGACACCAAGCCUCUGUAAAGCUCCUUCGACGAGUCGAGUAGUUUGGGAAUGCUGCUCUAAAUGGGAGGUAUAUCUCUUCUAAAGCUAAAUAUAGGCCAGAGACCGAUAGCGCACAAGUAGAGUGAUCGAAAGAUGAAAAGCACUUUGAAAAGAGGGUUAAAAAGUACGUGAAAUUGUUGAAAGGGAAGGGCUUGUGACCAGACUUGUGCCGGGUUGAUCAUCCGCGGUUCUCCCGCGGUGCACUCUCCCCGGUCCAGGCCAGCGUCGGUUCUGGGAGGGGGACAAAAGCUUGGGGAACGUGGCUCCUCCGGGAGUGUUAUAGCCCCUCGCCCAAUGCCCCUGCCGGGACCGAGGUUCGCGCUCUGCAAGGACGCUG